CCUCGCCUUUAGUUGGCCAUCAUUUAGUUGGGUACUCUAAAAGAACCGCCGGUGAUAAGCCGGAGGAAUGUGGGGAUGACGUCAAUUCCUCAUGGCCCUUACGCGUUGGGCUACACACGUGCUACAAUGGCGACUACAGUGGGCAGCCACCUCGCGAGAGGGAGCUGAUCUCCAAAAGUCGUCUCAGUUCGGAUCGUUCUCUGCAACUCGAGAGCGUGAAGGCGGAAUCGCUAGUAAUCGCGGAUCAGCAUGCCGCGGUGAAUACGUUCCCAGGCCUUGUACACACCGCCCGUCACACCAUGGGAGUUGGAUUCACUCGAAGGCGUUGAGCUAACCGCAAGGAGGCAGGCGACCACAGUGGGUUUAGCGACUGGGGUGAAUUCGUAACAAGGUACCGUANGGGAACCUGCGGCUGGAUCACCUC
RNAcentral lists this ribosomal RNA (424 nucleotides) under alpha proteobacterium K-2043. RNAcentral describes it as "bacterial SSU rRNA". It matches the Rfam family "Bacterial small subunit ribosomal RNA", at positions 1103 to 1529 of the family's 1533-position model. The record is from RNAcentral. Lineage: Bacteria; Pseudomonadati; Pseudomonadota; Alphaproteobacteria.